Molecule: non-coding RNA, 447 nt
Organism: Yersinia mollaretii ATCC 43969
Lineage: Bacteria; Pseudomonadati; Pseudomonadota; Gammaproteobacteria; Enterobacterales; Yersiniaceae
Source: Rfam
CCCGGUUGACAGUAACAUUUAUGCAAGCAGUUUUAGUAAAGCAGUUCCCCGUAUUAGCGUUAUCAGACAGAUACCUCUUCUCCGCGAAAUUCCUUCUAAGUGCCCCAUAAGUUGUGCCCAAGCCUAUUCGCUCGCCUAUGGCGGCAAUCAAAAAUAAUUGAAGGAAGUAUCUCUAUGUCUAAUAAAAUGACUGGUUUAGUAAAAUGGUUUAACGCUGACAAAGGUUUUGGUUUCAUCUCUCCUGCUGACGGCAGCAAAGACGUGUUCGUUCACUUCUCUGCCAUCCAGAGCAAUGAUUUCAAAACUUUAGAAGAAGGCCAGAAUGUUGAGUUCUCUAUCGAGAAUGGCGCUAAAGGCCCGGCAGCGGCGAAUGUUGUUGCUCUGUAAGAGUGAAUAACUGAACCUAAUACCCAACUCAUUGGAGUUACAGCUGUAACUUCAAGGACG